RNAcentral lists this small nuclear RNA (107 nucleotides) under Castor canadensis (American beaver). Lineage: Eukaryota; Metazoa; Chordata; Mammalia; Rodentia; Castoridae. The record is from RNAcentral.
AUGCUCGCUUCGGCAGCACAAAUGCUAAAAUCAGAAUGAUACAGAGACGAUUAACCUAGCACCUGUUCAAGGAUAACGUGCAAAUUCGUGGAGCAUUCCAUUAAAAA